AAAUUGAAGAGUUUGAUCAUGGCUCAGAUUGAACGCUGGCGGCAGGCCUAACACAUGCAAGUCGAACGGUAACAGGAAACAGCUUGCUGUUUCGCUGACGAGUGGCGGACGGGUGAGUAAUGUCUGGGAAACUGCCUGAUGGAGGGGGAUAACUACUGGAAACGGUAGCUAAUACCGCAUAACGUCGCAAGACCAAAGAGGGGGACCCUCGGGCCUCUUGCCAUCGGAUGUGCCCAGAUGGGAUUAGCUUGUUGGUGGGGUAACGGC
This 267-nucleotide ribosomal RNA is filed under the name Escherichia coli. RNAcentral describes it as "partial 16S ribosomal RNA". It matches the Rfam family "Bacterial small subunit ribosomal RNA", at positions 1 to 264 of the family's 1533-position model. Lineage: Bacteria; Pseudomonadati; Pseudomonadota; Gammaproteobacteria; Enterobacterales; Enterobacteriaceae. The record is from RNAcentral.